CAGCAGCCGCGGUAAUGCGUAGGGUGCAAGCGUCAAUCGGAAUUACUGGGCGUAAAGCGUGCGCAGGCGGUUCGUUAAGACAGAUGUGAAAUCCCCGGGCUUAACCUGGGAACUGCAUUUGUGACUGGCGGGCUAGAGUAUGGCAGAGGGGGGUAGAAUUCCACGUGUAGCAGUGAAAUGCGUAGAGAUGUGGAGGAAUACCGAUGGCGAAGGCAGCCCCCUGGGCCAAUACUGACGCUCAUGCACGAAAGCGUGGGGAGCAAACAGGAUUAGAUACCCGGGUAGUCCCUGUCUCUUAUAC
RNAcentral lists this ribosomal RNA (301 nucleotides) under uncultured bacterium. Its description in RNAcentral is "partial 16S ribosomal RNA". It matches the Rfam family "Bacterial small subunit ribosomal RNA", at positions 509 to 807 of the family's 1533-position model. The record is from RNAcentral.